UCGGAAGCCCCCGAGACCAUCACCGACGCCGAGCUGCGGGUAACUCUCACAGUGGAAGAGUUGGUUCCUUCCGGUGGAUUCGUGGUCUCGCUGACUUCAAGAAUGGAGCUGCGGGCUUUUGCCGUCAGUGUUUCAGCUCUUAAAGACGGGCCGGACACAAACAACUAUGGACAGGCUUUUCCCAAAGACUUGAAAAGAAGGGACAUCAGAUGAGCCUCUUAAAGUCCCUAAAGAUCAGGCAAGGUGAAGAAAGAACCUUGAGAGCGCCUUGAAGACAGACAGACCGGCAGGCUGAGCUGCUAACUGGUCGCCCACACCGGAUUACCUGAGGGUCGCCCACACCAGAUUACCUGAAGAGUAUGUGUGUCAGUCAAGUGUCUGGCCAGGUUUGGAAGCCAGGAAAAAGUGAGAGACAGCAGCAAACAGCUCCAUCACUUGGUUAGACCCCACUCCCGGAGCAGUAGUGGCAAGGAAAGCCAGCCUGGAAUGCAGUGGCUGCAGCUGUCCCCUCGGCCUAAGGCCCUUGGACACUGGGCCCGUGCAACUAACUACUCCCACUCUGAGCCCAUGUUCCGCGGGCAGCCCCCAACAUCUGUGCAGAUGGAGGACUGGGGUCACCCUGCAGCUAUACCAGCCAGCCUGCUGAGAAGAUUCUGCAUCUCCUAAGAUGUCGCUUGCUAUUCUGACAUCAUAUCUUGGUCUCUUUUGUUUAAUUAUGACAAAGCAUUCUCUGCAAAAUGCCGCUGUUCUCAUCAUCCUGGUCCAAGCCAAGUUCUGAAUCUGAGAGUGGGACACCAGCCCGAAGCCAAAGGUGAGCUCUUCACCUGGGAAAACCAGCCUGGGUUCCUGGAUUCUUCUCAGAAGAGAACUAAGACUAUUAGAAAAUAGAAUUCUGCAAUACUUUGUUUUCACAGGUGUAGGAAAAUUGUAUUCGAUUUUUACCCUUGGCCUGUUUUAUUAUAAUGACCUCUCUUUUUCCUGCCUUUCAAUCCAGCUGAGACAAUGUAUGCAUGUUUACAUCAUGUGUGUAUAUACAUCUACUUGCACAUAGAUGUAUAUAGUUAUAUAUGUUUAAUGUAUAUAUGAAUAAAAUGUGCAUACAGCAGACUUAGGGACUUCUCUGGAGGGAGGAAUAAAGGUUGUAAAGUAGAAGAAAAUGUAUCAA
Molecule: long non-coding RNA, 1165 nt
Organism: Gorilla gorilla gorilla (western lowland gorilla)
Lineage: Eukaryota; Metazoa; Chordata; Mammalia; Primates; Hominidae
Exons: 3
Source: RefSeq, a predicted model, not a curated record